RNAcentral lists this ribosomal RNA (495 nucleotides) under uncultured bacterium. Its description in RNAcentral is "partial 16S ribosomal RNA". It matches the Rfam family "Bacterial small subunit ribosomal RNA", at positions 28 to 507 of the family's 1533-position model. The record is from RNAcentral.
GACGAACGCUGGCGGCGUGCCUAAUACAUGCAAGUCGAACGCUGAAGGAGGAGCUUGCUCUUCUGGAUGAGUUGCGAACGGGUGAGUAACGAGUAGGUAACCUGCCUGGUAGCGGGGGAUAACUAUUGGAAACGAUAGCUAAUACCGCAUAACAGUAGAUGUUGCAUGACAUUUACUUAAAAGGUGCAAUUGCAUCACUACCAGAUGGACCUGCGUUGUAUUAGCUAGUUGGUGGGGUAACGGCUCACCAAGGCGACGAUACAUAGCCGACCUGAGAGGGGGAUCGGCCACACUGGGACUGAGACACGGCCCAGACUCCUACGGGAGGCAGCAGUAGGGAAUCUUCGGCAAUGGACGGAAGUCUGACCGAGCAACGCCGCGUGAGUGAAGAAGGUUUUCGGAUCGUAAAGCUCUGUUGUAAGAGAAGAACGAGUGUGAGAGUGGAAAGUUCACACUGUGACGGUAUCUUACCAGAAAGGGACGGCUAACUACGUG